Molecule: ribosomal RNA, 776 nt
Filed under: uncultured Neocallimastigales
Lineage: Eukaryota; Fungi; Neocallimastigomycota; Neocallimastigomycetes; Neocallimastigales
Description: partial large subunit ribosomal RNA
Rfam family: Eukaryotic large subunit ribosomal RNA
Source: RNAcentral
GUACACGCUGUGACUAGCAUAUCAAUAAGCGGAGGAAAAGAAACUAACAAGGAUUCCCUUAGUAACGGCGAGUGAAGCGGGAAGAGCUCAAAUUUGAAAUCUUAAAGGUUUUCCCUUGACGAAUUGUAGUUUAAAGAAGUGUUUUCUGUUGAAGUUUUGGUAAAAGUUCUUUGGAAUAGGACAUCAUAGAGGGUGAGAAUCCCGUAUUUGACCAUUUACUUUUCAGCUUUGUGAUACACUUUCAAAGAGUCGGAUUGUUUGGGAAUGCAGUCCAAAAUGGGUGGUAAAUUUCAUCUAAAGCUAAAUAUUGGCGAGAGACCGAUAGCGAACAAGUACCGUGAGGGAAAGAUGAAAAGAACUUUGAAAAGAGAGUUAAACAGUACGUGAAAUUGUCAAAAGGGAAGCGUUUGACACCAGUGUUGUUUUCUCGAAAAUCAAUUAAAAAUGGCUCGAUUUUGUAUUGCUGAGACCUUAAAAGCUCACUGUACAUUUUUCGUGUCUUUUUUAAUGCACUUUUCGUUUAACAAGUCAACAUCAGUUUCUUUUGUUGUAAAAGGGUCAUUGGAAGGUGGCUUUCUUUUCGGAGAAAGUGUUUAUAGCCUUUGGCCUCUGCAAUCGGAGAGACUGAGGUCUGCAGCGUAGACUCUUCGGGGUUAGAUACAUUUGUGCUAAGUUAUAGCUUUUUAUAGACAACUUGUUGACUAUAAUUAGUCUUGUAGCUUACUCGCUUAUGCUAUUUUACCUACGCUUAGGAUGUUGAGCGCAUGUCUCUCUCU